ACUCACCUUCUGAAAGCUCCAUUAGGAUGGAUUAACAGACUCUUUUUCUCUGUCCUGGCCGAUAAAUAUUCGGGGCUGUUGACCUGUUGGCUUGUAGCUGCGCUAAAGCGGUGCUAACAGGGUGGGAAAGUAUAUGCUUCACUAGACUCGUUCGCGGUCAUGGCUCAAAACGAGAGAAAGUACGGAAUUAGUUUACGGGGCAUUUUGUGGUGAUGUUUUUUUACGGGCGAUAUCAUGUAUGCAACACCCUGUAUAUUUGGUUUAGAGAACUAAGGCAGUGAAUUCAAACAACAGGAGGGGUGACGAGACAUUUUGUAUGCAUGUAUUUCCUGCAUCCUCAGGGUUAGCACCUUGGGGGGUGUCCGCACACCCACAUGGAUUUUCCGUAAGUCUUUUUCUUAGCGACAGACCGGGGUGAUAGAUGGAAAGGACAUAUUCCUAUCGUUAAAAGACAUUGCAUUUCUCCGCGACAGACCGGGCGAGAGAAAACAAGAGAUCCCCUUUCGUUAAAGGAUAUAGGUCCUGGUUAGCCCUGACCUGCAUCCGUUUCCAAUUCCCC
Molecule: long non-coding RNA, 559 nt
Organism: Oncorhynchus tshawytscha (Chinook salmon)
Lineage: Eukaryota; Metazoa; Chordata; Actinopteri; Salmoniformes; Salmonidae
Exons: 3
Source: RefSeq, a predicted model, not a curated record